AUGGCUCACGGCGAUCAUCAAGACGAUGACGAUGAUUUCAUGGAGUUACCGCGGCAGAAUCGUGCAACUAGACGGACAACAGACGACGAUGAGGUAACUGUCCACCCCCCAGCCCCCUUCCCCCAUAUGGCUUCACAGGAACGCCUGACUAUAUUGACCGAGGGAUUCACCGACGACCAGAAGGGAGCUGCUGCUGAGUUGGGGAUGCAGGCUCUGAUGGAUGUUCGGUGCAAGAAUCUAGUGAACCCUGUAUGCGACUGGCUUGGUGAGAUUUACGAGCCCGCCUCCAGGAAAUUUGUUAUUCCGGGACGUGGAAGACUGCCGUUAGAUGAGGAAUUCGUGUUCUGCACGUUGGGUGUGCCCCGUGGAGAAAUCAAAGUCCCGUAUGAGGUCAAUAAUACGAUUGAGGAAACGUUGUUUGCCCGUUUGUUUCCUGGGAUGACAUCCAUGAACACAAAUUCGCUGGAGGGCAUGAAAACCCAUGGCAAAGUUUUUAAGAUGAAGCUACUCAUGUACCUGAUCUCAGCUGUUUUUGCGCCGACCACAUCUCUUCGCCCAAGCAACAAAUGCUUCCCCAUCCUGGUGAAUGCUCUAUCUCUACUCCUUCAUUUUUUCCUUCAAUCUUUUGACUCCUAUGUCAUAUCAACUUCUUGUCCUGAAAUUUGUGUCGUGCAGGCAAAACUGAAAGAAGUGAAGAACAUGAAUUGGUGUAAGUUCAUUGCGGACUUCCUGCAUGAUGCAUUCUCAAACAAGAUGUACCAGAAGGGUUGUCGACUCCAUUUAAUGGUAUUUUUGUACUACUUUUUUGCAAACACUCCUAGCUCCUUGAGCAUGCAUGGCAACCAUGAUGGUGACAUUGUGGCAACUACCAUCAUAACAAGAUGGCAACUGCCAACAUAA
This 900-nucleotide ribosomal RNA is filed under the name Triticum aestivum (bread wheat). Its description in RNAcentral is "partial small subunit ribosomal RNA". The record is from RNAcentral. Lineage: Eukaryota; Viridiplantae; Streptophyta; Magnoliopsida; Poales; Poaceae.